This 484-nucleotide ribosomal RNA is filed under the name uncultured bacterium. Its description in RNAcentral is "partial 16S ribosomal RNA". It matches the Rfam family "Bacterial small subunit ribosomal RNA", at positions 30 to 507 of the family's 1533-position model. The record is from RNAcentral.
AUUGAACGCUGGCGGCAGGCCUAACACAUGCAAGUCGAGCGGAUGAAGGGAGCUUGCUCCUGGAUUCAGCGGCGGACGGGUGAGUAAUGCCUAGGAAUCUGCCUGGUAGUGGGGGAUAACGUCCGGAAACGGGCGCUAAUACCGCAUACGUCCUGAGGGAGAAAGUGGGGGAUCUUCGGACCUCACGCUAUCAGAUGAGCCUAGGUCGGAUUAGCUAGUUGGUGGGGUAAAGGCCUACCAAGGCGACGAUCCGUAACUGGUCUGAGAGGAUGACCGGUCACACUGGAACUGAGACACGGUCCAGACUCCUACGGGAGGCAGCAGUGGGGAAUAUUGGACAAUGGGCGAAAGCCUGAUCCAGCCAUGCCGCGUGUGUGAAGAAGGUCUUCGGAUUGUAAAGCACUUUAAGUUGGGAGGAAGGGCAGUAAGUUAAUACCUUGCUGUUUUGACGUUACCAACAGAAUAAGCACCGGCUAACUUCGUG